CAUCAGGUGAACCUAUUAACUUUUUACAAAAAGGAAAAAAAAAUGCAUGUAUGAUCUUACUUUUAACAACUUAAUGACAGAACAAAGAAAAUUUCCCUCAUAAAUCCAUAGAAAAGAGAACAUUCAAGAGGGAUUAUUUUCUUCUAUGAAACAAAAUGUUUGCAUAACCAAAUAGUCUGAACAGGUUGGCCUUUUUUACCAUGUAAAAACUAAAUACAUACUAGCUCCAAAACACAUACCUCAGUAAUAAGCCUCAGUUGAUGAACAUAAUCUUUCCCAGGAAACAAAGGUUCUCUGGUCGUAAUUUCACCGAGGAUGCAACCAACAGACCAAAUA
RNAcentral lists this unclassified non-coding RNA (336 nucleotides) under Hevea brasiliensis (rubber tree). The record is from RNAcentral. Lineage: Eukaryota; Viridiplantae; Streptophyta; Magnoliopsida; Malpighiales; Euphorbiaceae.